UUAUAAUUUUUUGAAAAAAAAAAAUCGAAAAUUAUAAGAAUUAUUAAAAAAAAAACCACAUCGAUAAUAAUGUGUAAAUAUUUUUUAAUAGAAUAAAGUUAUAUGCUCUUCGUUUAUUUAUAUAUCUAUUUAAUCUUUUCUUUUUAAAAAAUUAUAAAGUUUUUUUAUAAAAAAAAAAUUAGAAAGCUUUUUUUUUUUUUAAAAUUGUUAAAAAUAAGUUUUUUAAAAGUAUUAAAUAGCAGUUUUUUGUUUACUAAAUACCACAGAUAUAGAUUUUUAUUAUAUUUUUUUUUUUAAUUACUAGUAAGAAAAGAAAAAAAAUUAAAUGUUUUUAUAAUAAUUAUAACUGUAGUAUGUUUUUAUUAAGAAAAAAUCAAAAUAUUAAGGAGGUAAAAUAAACCCCCAUUAUGAUAAAAGAAGAAAAGACCCUAGGUGGUUUAAUUUUUUUUUCCACUGGGGUAGUGAAAUAUAAUUAAAAAACAUAUUUUUUUGAAUAAUUUUUUUUUUUCUAAAUGAACCUAUGUAGAUAGUUAAUUGGAAAAACCAACCCUAGGGAUAACAGCGCUAUAUAUGAUAAUAGAACAUAUUGAUUCAUAUUUUUACGACCUCGAUGUCGUCUUAUAAUACAAGUUUUCAUGCAGAGGUGAUUAUUUUACGAUUGUUCCUCGUUUUAAAUUAUACAUGAGCUGGGUUUAGUACGGAGUGAUUUAGUUCGGUUUUUAUCUUUUUUUUAAACAAAAAAUAGUACGAAAGGAAUUUUUCUUGUUUACUUUUUUUUUUAUGGUUUUUUAGUUUUUAUUAUUAAUACAAAACAGGGAUAUAUAUUAACCCACAUAUGUUUUUUUGAAUCGUAAAAUAUUAGUUUUUUUUUUUUUUUUUUUUUAUUUCUUUAUUGGNUUUUAGAUUUUUUUUUUUAGCGAAAUAUAGUAGUAUUCUAAUUAACCCAAAAGUAGUAUAUAUUUCUCAAUUCGUUGGGUUUUUUUUUAUAUUUUUUUUUUUUUUUUUCAGCGAAAUAUGGGAAUAUUCUAAUUAGCCCAAAAUAGUAUUUUCCCAAUUUUGUUGGGUUUUUUUUAUUUUUGAUUAUAUUUUACAAAAGUGUAUUAUGAUUUUUUGAAAAAAAAAAAAAUCGAAAAUUAUAAGAAUUAUUAAAAAAAAAACCACAUGGAUAAAAAU
Molecule: ribosomal RNA, 1173 nt
Filed under: Lissoclinum patella
Lineage: Eukaryota; Metazoa; Chordata; Ascidiacea; Aplousobranchia; Didemnidae
Description: 16S ribosomal RNA
Source: RNAcentral